GUUUAACUAUACAAUCAAUAUGACAUUACACCCGUCAUGUUGCAGUAGUUUGUACUACUAGUUAUAUUAGUCAAUGUGUGAUCGCCAAUUAAUCACAGACCUACGGCAUAUUGAGAUAUAAUUGAAGUGGAUAUUUGACUGCAAGUAUACUGUUACUAAUCACUCCAUGUGACAAGUUCUUCCCGUGGGCUAUUAUUCAACUGUGUUCAUUUAGAAAAUCAGUUAAGAAGUAAAUUUCCGCCUCCGUCUACCAGUCUGUGAAUAUUCAAAGGAGUUCCUCUUAUUUUCACAUUCAUAUUACUAGAGUUUUUAAAUAUUUAUGCAGAUGUUGGAUUGUAUUAAGUGUUAGGUCUCAAGUUCUCCGAUCACGGCGGUUCUGUAAAAACACACUCAUUGAGAAUUGAGAAUAUAAUAAACACGAGACAUUUUAUGUGAUAGCAGUAUUGAAUGUUUGGGAUUUAUAUACCGUUAUUCUUGUGUCAGGAAGAAUUGAGUGUUCGUAGUUUUACAAUAUGUGAUAUAAUAAUUGUGCUAAUUAGAGAAAUUAGUUGGCAUAUAACAAUCACUUUUUUAGUAGCAGAUAAUGGGUUCUAAAAAGACUUAAAUGUCAUACUAUAUGAAACUAUUAGAUAACAUUUAUAUAAAAUAAUUUACAGCUUUAACCUAUUAGUGUUAUAUAGCAUUAGCUAAUGAUUAGCAAGGAAUAUCCAGGCUGAAUAAAGCGAGUGUCAGUGAUCUAUUAUGGUGGACAUGACUUAUACAUGUACUCUUUGGAUAUCGCUCUUAUGAACCACAUACAUGUGCGUGGUUCAAGUUAGCUGAUAUUGUAGUUUAGAACAAUAUGGAUGAUAAAGCACACCCUAAACAUCCUAAUGGGAUAAAUAAAGAUGUUAAUAUUGCUGUAUUAGGGAUGAGAAAUGUGGGAAAAUCAGCUUUAAUUGUACGUUAUCUCACCAAAAGAUUUAUAGGAGAUUAUGAUCCAGAAAUGGAUGAUAUAUUUAAACAUACCACCACUAUAGAUAGUAAACAAGUUACUAUACAUAUUAUGGACACAGUUUGGAGUUACACGCAUUCCCAUCACCAAUAUAAAGAAGACCCGAUCACGUGGGCAGAUGGUUUUUUAUUGGUUUAUUCUGUCACAGAUAGAGAUAGUUUUAUUUCUGUUCAAGAAUUAGUUGAAAGUCUUCGAUUAUCUAGGGAAGACGACCG
Molecule: long non-coding RNA, 1209 nt
Organism: Patella vulgata (common limpet)
Lineage: Eukaryota; Metazoa; Mollusca; Gastropoda; Patellidae
Exons: 4
Source: RefSeq, a predicted model, not a curated record